GUGAGUAUAGCUCAGUGGUAGAGCGCGUGCUUGGCACGCACAAGGGCGUGGGUUCAGUCCCCAGUAUCUCCA
RNAcentral lists this transfer RNA (72 nucleotides) under Camelus bactrianus (Bactrian camel). It matches the Rfam family "tRNA". From Rfam's summary of the family: Transfer RNA (tRNA) molecules are approximately 80 nucleotides in length. Their secondary structure includes four short double-helical elements and three loops (D, anti-codon, and T loops). Further hydrogen bonds mediate the characteristic L-shaped molecular structure. tRNAs have two regions of fundamental functional importance: the anti-codon, which is responsible for specific mRNA codon recognition, and the 3' end, to which the tRNAs corresponding amino acid is attached (by aminoacyl-tRNA synthetases). tRNAs cope with the degeneracy of the genetic code in two manners: having more than one tRNA (with a specific anti-codon) for a particular amino acid; and 'wobble' base-pairing, i.e. permitting non-standard base-pairing at the 3rd anti-codon position. RNAcentral also lists the same sequence under 1 other name. Lineage: Eukaryota; Metazoa; Chordata; Mammalia; Artiodactyla; Camelidae. The record is from Rfam by way of RNAcentral.